This is a long non-coding RNA of Zingiber officinale, 733 nucleotides long. RefSeq lists it as uncharacterized. NCBI's taxonomy places the organism in Eukaryota, Viridiplantae, Streptophyta, Magnoliopsida, Zingiberales, Zingiberaceae. The record is from RefSeq and is a predicted model, not a curated record. The transcript is spliced from 2 exons.
AAGGCUUGCUACAGUGAAUUCCACACCAAAAACACCAUUUCCUCACCUUUCCUCCCUAUUUCUGCCGACCAAGCUCGCUGCCUCUAUGCGUUCUCCACCCGAUCGUGCCAACGCCGCCCAACUUGUCGCCGGCCGAGUCUUCUAACCUCUCUACCCUUUACCUGGAGCUCCACCAGUCGAUCCUCUCUUCGAAUCUUUGUCUCCGCGCAAGACAUCUUUGGCCAGGAGGACCAGAUUUGAGACCUAGAUCCGCUGGAGUGAAGCUCGGGUUCCAGCGAUGACUACCUGGUUGCAAUCGACAUUUUCCAGAGGGCUGUCUCUACCUUCUGUGGCCUAACACCAAGCUUCUGUCACCGAUCUCUUUCGCCUACCCCGACGAACGCUUACUGUGGAUUCUAUUGGGAAGAGAUCGUUGACACUAGCAUAGGGUAAGAUGUGUAGAUCUGGAAUUUAGGUUUGUAGAAGAUCUGAGUUUCAAAGUUAGUAUGGGAUUUGGUGCUAACUGGUGUGGAUAUCUUUGGCUGUGAUUUCAUUUUAGCUUCGGUCAAGAAAUUGCGAUAGCAAGGAUUUCAGCUAGCAAUUUCUGAUAGUUGUUUAUUUGGCCGUGAGACAACAGAGAAAUGUGGCAGUAAGGGCCUUGAUUUACUACGAGCCGCUUAACAUGGAGAUAAUAUUCGAGACGCGUUAUAUUUGAGACGGGUACUGAAGGCGCUAGAAUUCCAUUCUGUUUAAA